GACGAACGCUGGCGGCGUGCCUAACACAUGCAAGUCGAACGGGAUCCAUGGAGUGCUUGCACUCCGGAAGAUCUAGUGGCGAACGGGUGAGUAACACGUGAGAAACCUGCCCCAGACUCUGGGAUAACCUCGGGAAACCGAAGCUAAUACCGGAUAUUCUCCUUUGGUCGCAUGGCCAGUUGAGGAAAGUUUUUCGGUCUGGGAGGGUCUCGCGGCCUAUCAGCUAGUUGGUGGGGUAACGGCCCACCAAGGCUACGACGGGUAGCCGGCCUGAGAGGGCGAACGGCCACACUGGAACUGAGAUACGGUCCAGACUCCUACGGGAGGCAGCAGUGGGGAAUAUUGGGCAAUGGGGGAAACCCUGACCCAGCGACGCCGCGUGGGUGAAGAAAUCCUUCGGGAUGUAAAGCCCUGUUGUAUGGGAAGAGCGGAAGACGGUACCAUACGAGGAAGCCCGGCAAACUACGUG
Molecule: ribosomal RNA, 469 nt
Filed under: uncultured bacterium
Lineage: Bacteria
Description: bacterial SSU rRNA
Rfam family: Bacterial small subunit ribosomal RNA
Source: RNAcentral